GACGAACGCUGGCGGCGUGCCUAAUACAUGCAAGUCGAACGCUUCUUUCCUCCCGAGUGCUUGCACUCAAUUGGAAAGAGGAGUGGCGGACGGGUGAGUAACACGUGGGUAACCUACCCAUCAGAGGGGGAUAACACUUGGAAACAGGUGCUAAUACCGCAUAACAGUUUAUGCCGCAUGGCAUAAGAGUGAAAGGCGCUUUCGGGUGUCGUUGAUGGAUGGACCCGCGGUGCAUUAGCUAGUUGGUGAGGUAACGGCUCACCAAGGCCACGAUGCAUAGCCGACCUGAGAGGGUGAUCGGCCACACUGGGACGGAGACACGGCCCAGACUCCUACGGGAGGCAGCAGUAGGGAAUCGUCGGCAAUGGACGAAAGUCUGACCGAGCAACGCCGCGUGAGUGAAGAAGGUUUUCGGAUCGUAAAACUCUGUUGUUAGAGAAGAACAAGGACGUUAGUAACUGAACGUCCCCUGACGGUAUCUAACCAGAAAGCCACGGCUAACUACGUG
This 508-nucleotide ribosomal RNA is filed under the name uncultured bacterium. Its description in RNAcentral is "partial 16S ribosomal RNA". It matches the Rfam family "Bacterial small subunit ribosomal RNA", at positions 28 to 507 of the family's 1533-position model. The record is from RNAcentral.